CCUACGGGCGGCAGCAGUGGGGAAUAUUGCACAAUGGGGGAAACCCUGAUGCAGCGAAGCCGCGUGGAGGAAGAAGGUUUUAGGAGUGUAAACUCCUUUUAUCAGGGACGAUAAGGACGGUACCUGAAGAAAAAGCUCUGGCUAACGAGGUGCCAGCAGCCGCGGUAAUACGUAGGGAGCGAGCGUUGUCCGGAAUUACUGGGUGUAAAGGGAGCGUAGGUGGGACGUCAAGUCAGAUGUGAAAACUUAGGGCUCAACUUUCAGACUGCAUUUGAAACUGGUGUUCUUGAGUGAAGUAGAGGUAAGCGGAAUUCCUAGUGUAGCGGUGAAAUGCUUAGAUAUUAGGAGGAACUUCGAUGGCGAAGGCAGCUUACUGAGCUUUUACUGACGCUGAGGCUCGAAAGCGUGGGGAGCAAACAGGAUUAGAUACCCCAGUAGUC
RNAcentral lists this ribosomal RNA (440 nucleotides) under uncultured bacterium. RNAcentral describes it as "partial 16S ribosomal RNA". It matches the Rfam family "Bacterial small subunit ribosomal RNA", at positions 338 to 795 of the family's 1533-position model. The record is from RNAcentral.